AUUGAACGCUGGCGGCAUGCCUUACACAUGCAAGUCGAACGGCAGCACGGGAGCAAUCCUGGUGGCGAGUGGCGAACGGGUGAGUAAUACAUCGGAACGUGUCCAGUAGUGGGGGAUAGCCCGGCGAAAGCCGGAUUAAUACCGCAUACGACCUACGGGUGAAAGCGGGGGAUCGCAAGACCUCGCGCUAUUGGAGCGGCCGAUGUCAGAUUAGCUUGUUGGUGGGGUAAAAGCCUACCAAGGCUACGAUCUGUAGCUGGUUUGAGAGGACGACCAGCCACACUGGGACUGAGACACGGCCCAGACUCCUACGGGAGGCAGCAGUGGGGAAUUUUGGACAAUGGGCGCAAGCCUGAUCCAGCCAUGCCGCGUGCGGGAAGAAGGCCUUCGGGUUGUAAACCGCUUUUGUCAGGGAAGAAACGCUCCGGGCUAAUACCCCGGAGUAAUGACGGUACCUGAAGAAUAAGCACCGGCUAACUACGUG
Molecule: ribosomal RNA, 484 nt
Filed under: uncultured bacterium
Lineage: Bacteria
Description: bacterial SSU rRNA
Rfam family: Bacterial small subunit ribosomal RNA
Source: RNAcentral